Molecule: unclassified non-coding RNA, 339 nt
Filed under: Hevea brasiliensis (rubber tree)
Lineage: Eukaryota; Viridiplantae; Streptophyta; Magnoliopsida; Malpighiales; Euphorbiaceae
Source: RNAcentral
UGGAAAGGGUAUGGUAUACUUUGUGUUUUAUGUGUUUUUUUAAUAAUUGAACUCUAGUUAUUUUAGUUGAAACCAGCAGAAGAUCGUUGAAAAUAAAUUGUAACUAAAAAUAAUUCUUAUUAAGAGCAUAUAUUCAAAUUAUUGCAAAUCUUAAACUCUGUAAUCUUUGAUUAAUUUUCUAUUGUUUUUCUCUCACCUAGAUGCUCUAAAUUUGAAUGCCAUGUAUAUUUUCUUAGUCUUACACUUGAUCAGGGUUGAGAACCCUUCAACUUUACAGUGUUGCUUUAUAUUCUUAUUCAUUAUUAGGCCAAAUACAUAAAUUGCCCCUUGUACUUUCAU